AUCAGCUUUGACUGUCGAGCCCAGCCCAGCUAGCUGCUAGCACUUAUAUAACUCUUGCAUCGUUCGAAGUUUCCACCGGCUGCUUUAUAAAGUCUCCCUGUUUAUUUGAUUGCUUCUUUCGUUUAAAUACUUGUCCCUGUACCUACACGAAUACCGAUGGCUAUAGUAUUUUUGUAGCAUUAUUACAAGAGGAUGAAGAGAUUUUGUUCGGAUUAUCGCCCGCACAGCAAAUUCAAAUUUAAAAAAAGUUAAACGGCAUCUAGUGACUGCGAUUACAAUUUACAAGCCAGAAAUGAUUUUUCAGCGUCGUCUGCAACUAACACGUGCAAAUGGUUCGGACCGAACAGAAUCAGAUCGUCACCUAAUCGGCUAAUCCCACAAAAAGAAAAGAAUCAAAUCGUCCUUCGGUCAGUGCUUCAGUGGUGACUUAGUUCGUGGAUGUCUGUUAUUUUAUUGGCUUGUUUUUUUAAAUAUUUACCUGAUCAAGAAACUGUUUGGUGGUAUCUCAUAAAUUGAAAGAAAAUGUCAGGUGGUGUUGAGAGGAGAGGAACAAUUUCCUCUUGUUACGUUGGUACUGAUUCCUAGAGUCCAACGUUAUUUGAUAGAGAACAGUCACAGAACAUAGAUAUGCCUAUGGAGGAAAUGACUGAUUUACUUGAAAGGCAAUAUGCUGACUAUGGAAGGAAGAAGAAUAUUUCUUUUCGAAAUUCUGUUAAGUAAUUAUAUGAAGACAUAACAAUAAUCCUGGGAGCCAAGCUAGGACGCCAAGGAUGAUGUCAGUGAUUCAUAUCCUUAUGAAACUGCUAGAAUAGCUGACACUCUUGAAAGUAGGGAAACUGCUAAUGUAUCCUUAUGAAGUAUGCACUCCAACAAUACAGCAGAAUAUUCACAUAAUGAUAAUUGACAUAAUGGUGAUUGAUGUGCAUGGUGAACAAGGUAUGGCACCAUUACAAAGUACACCAAUAAAAAAAAAUUUUAAACUGUUUUGCCCUAAAUCAGUCAAGUACUUCAAAUUUUACUUUUGUAUUGCAGUUACAGAAAGUUAUUGUAAAAAGAAAAGAAAUUUGAUCCAGAAGCCCCAGGUGAAACCAAGAAAAAAUCUCAUGUGUUCCAAUCUGUCAUUUCUACUAGGAAGUUAUCAGAAGUUGGUGGCCAAUGAACAUCCCUCAUAGAAGUGCGAGAGCAGAUUAUUCACAUGAAGCAUCCAGAAUUUUACCAACAUUUGAGCCAGAGGAUUUUUCUUCACGGUCCAGGGCUCCAGGCUUGCGGUUAAACGUUAUUGGUUUCAUGUUAUCACUGGUUUGCCGCUCCAUAGCUGGAAUCUGGUGAGUAUGGAGAAAAUCUGUUUCGUGUUUGAACAAGCGACGUUUUCGGCUCCGUGUGUAAUUAAUUGACGAAAUUGACGCCUUAACGCCCAAAAGAGAAACGGCUUAACGAGAGAUGGAUCGAAUGAUAGUUGCCCUAACCUGCAUUGAUGAUAUUGGCAGUCGAGACAGAAAUAUUCAGGUGCUGGUGGUUGUUGCUGCCAACAGACCAGACGCCUUAAAUCUGUCUUAAGAAGAGCUGGCCACUUCGACCGAGAAAUAUCACUUGGAAUACCAGACCUCGCCGCAGGAGAGAAGAUUCCUCAAUCGAUCGUGUGCUUUGAAUAUGGAAGUUCUUGUCUUUGAAUAGAUCGGAAUACGUAGCAGAGGAUAGGCGUCCGAGCUGACAUGAUAUCUGUGAAUAGGGCUUUUGAACGGAUGGAGUCCAUUUCUUUUGGUACUUAAGGGAUAAUUUCGAAUUGGCAACACCUUACCCAGUUCCAGUUUUACAUUGCCGACAUGCCGAGCCAAGAGCCAGAGACAUUGUUCUCCAGUACUGUUCGAAAUCUUUGUAGGCUGAUGGCUUCACGGUAAUUUCCACCGGCUGCUUCACAGAAUCUCCAAGUUUUCUUUAUUGAUCUUACGUUUCAACACCUGCCCUUGGACCUACACUGACGUUCACCAGGAUUUGAUUGCAUACUCAUGCUGAUUGUAUUUGAUGCCAAGAAAGCUUUAAUGGUUAAAGGAAAGGCUCCUCAUCCGUGUAAGUAUUCAUGUUUGGCAACUGCCGAUCUAAAUGGUGCUGUUUUGUUCAUUCCUGUCUGAAGAUACGUAGCCUGCACUUAAUUUUUACAAUCAGGUGUGAAUUGUUUGUCUAUGUUUGAAGGUGAAGGUUUUUUUUUAAGUCUGAAGAGUGUUUGAAGAUAUCUAGUAGUCAGCUAUUGACCAAAGAAGGGGAUUCAAUAUUAUCGAUGAACAGAUUUAAAUUAUAUAGCAGUUCUAACUUGAGUUGCACUAUCUAUGUUACCUGAAAUUUGUGGCAAUUGACCAAUUGUAUUUAAUUUUAAAUAAGUGAGUAAUGAAAUAUACAAAAUAAAAGUGAUA
Daphnia pulicaria is the source of this 2408-nucleotide long non-coding RNA. RefSeq lists it as uncharacterized. The record is from RefSeq and is a predicted model, not a curated record. The transcript is spliced from 8 exons. Lineage: Eukaryota; Metazoa; Arthropoda; Branchiopoda; Diplostraca; Daphniidae.